CCCCCUGCGAGCGUGGCACGGAGGGUUAGAGCGAGACCAGGGGCUCCCUCCCAGACACCGCGCUCCCACGUCGGGGCGUGUGGCUAUCAUCCACUAACUUUCUUCCCAGUCUGAUAGAUGCAGGAGUGCGGGAGAGUGCAUGAAUGGCCCAUCUUCAGACCCUGAAGGCCAGUGCUGAGCACAGUGGAAGAUGGCUUAUACUGCAGAGGAAGCCUGCAGGCUGCGGACAGAUGCAAGCAGCUGUGGCUGGGAUCUGUGAAGCAUUUCUGAAUGCCUGGGGGAGAGAGGACCAUGCAGCAUCCUUGCACCCAGAGGUCUGAGGCACAUACAUUCAGCCCGGUUUCCCUUCCUGUCCUAAGAAGGGAGUUCAAGGCCAGCCUGGAAUAAAUGAGACCCAAGAAGGAGGAAAAGGAAAGAAGGAG
Molecule: long non-coding RNA, 422 nt
Organism: Peromyscus maniculatus bairdii (prairie deer mouse)
Lineage: Eukaryota; Metazoa; Chordata; Mammalia; Rodentia; Cricetidae
Source: RefSeq, a predicted model, not a curated record